UGGGGAAUCUUGCGCAAUGGGCGAAAGCCUGACGCAGCAACGCCGCGUGCGGGAUGAAGGCCCUCGGGUCGUAAACCGCUUUCAGCAGGGAUGAAGAUGACAGUACCUGCAGAAGAAGCCCCGGCUAAAUACGUGCCAGCAGCCGCGGUAAUACGUAUGGGGCAAGCGUUAUCCGGAUUCAUUGGGCGUAAAGCGCGCGUAGGCGGCUUGUUAAGUCAGGCGUGAAAUCCGGGGGCUCAACCCGCGGCUUGCGUCUGAAACUGGCAGGCUUGAGUCUGGUAGAGGAAAGUGGAAUUCCUGGUGUAGCGGUGAAAUGCGCAGAUAUCAGGAGGAACACCAGUGGCGAAGGCGGCUUUCUGGGCCACGACUGACGCUGAGGCGCGAAAGCUAGGGGAGCGAACAGGAUUAGAUACCCUGGUAGUCCUAGCCGUAAACGAUGGGCACUAGGUGUGGGGGGUCAUCGACUCCCUCCGUGCCGAAGCUAACGCAUUAA
RNAcentral lists this ribosomal RNA (493 nucleotides) under uncultured bacterium. RNAcentral's name for it is "bacterial SSU rRNA". It matches the Rfam family "Bacterial small subunit ribosomal RNA", at positions 355 to 863 of the family's 1533-position model. The record is from RNAcentral.